This 64-nucleotide transfer RNA is filed under the name Epeorus alexandri. RNAcentral's name for it is "tRNA-Phe". The record is from RNAcentral. Lineage: Eukaryota; Metazoa; Arthropoda; Insecta; Ephemeroptera; Heptageniidae.
GUCUAAAUAGCUUAUAUAGAGCAUAACACUGAAGAUGUUAGGGAGAUUCCAGGAUCUUUGGGCA